UCGAUUUGGAGUUUGUUGCCCUGAGUGAUGGGCUCCGAAGCUAACGCGAUAAAUCGACCACCUGGGGAGUACGGCCGCAAGGUUAAAACUCAAAUGAAUUGACGGGGGCCCGCACAAGCGGUGGAGCAUGUGGUUUAAUUCGAUGCAACGCGAAGAACCUUACCUGGUCUUGACAUCCACAGAAUCUUGCAGAGAUGCGAGAGUGCCUUCGGGAACUGUGAGACAGGUGCUGCAUGGCUGUCGUCAGCUCGUGUUGUGAAAUGUUGGGUUAAGUCCCGCAACGAGCGCAACCCUUAUCCUUUGUUGCCAUUGGUUCGGCCGGGAACUCAAAGGAGACUGCCGUUGAUAAAGCGGAGGAAGGUGGGGACGACGUCAAGUCAUCAUGGCCCUUACGACCAGGGCUACACACGUGCUACAAUGGCGUAUACAAAGGGAGGCGACCUCGCGAGAGCAAGCGGACCUCAUAAAGUACGUCUAAGUCCGGAUUGGAGUCUGCAACUCGACUCCAUGAAGUCGGAAUCGCUAGUAAUCGUGAAUCAGAAUGUCACGGUGAAUACGUUCCCGGGCCU
RNAcentral lists this ribosomal RNA (569 nucleotides) under uncultured Gammaproteobacteria bacterium. RNAcentral's name for it is "bacterial SSU rRNA". It matches the Rfam family "Bacterial small subunit ribosomal RNA", at positions 812 to 1381 of the family's 1533-position model. The record is from RNAcentral. Lineage: Bacteria; Pseudomonadati; Pseudomonadota; Gammaproteobacteria.